RNAcentral lists this ribosomal RNA (497 nucleotides) under uncultured bacterium. RNAcentral's name for it is "partial 16S ribosomal RNA". It matches the Rfam family "Bacterial small subunit ribosomal RNA", at positions 28 to 507 of the family's 1533-position model. The record is from RNAcentral.
GAUGAACGCUGGCGGCGUGCCUAAUACAUGCAAGUCGAGCGAACAGACGAGGAGCUUGCUCCUCUGACGUUAGCGGCGGACGGGUGAGUAACACGUGGAUAACCUACCUAUAAGACUGGGAUAACUUCGGGAAACCGGAGCUAAUACCGGAUAAUAUAUUGAACCGCAUGGUUCAAUAGUGAAAGACGGUUUUGCUGUCACUUAUAGAUGGAUCCGCGCCGCAUUAGCUAGUUGGUAAGGUAACGGCUUACCAAGGCAACGAUGCGUAGCCGACCUGAGAGGGUGAUCGGCCACACUGGAACUGAGACACGGUCCAGACUCCUACGGGAGGCAGCAGUAGGGAAUCUUCCGAAAUGGGCGAAAGCCUGAAGGAGCAACGCCGCGUGAGUGAUGAAGGUCUUCGGAUCGUAAAACUCUGUUAUUAGGGAAGAACAAAUGUGUAAGUAACUAUGCACGUCUUGACGGUACAUAAUCAGAAAGCCACGGCUAACUACGUG